RNAcentral lists this ribosomal RNA (160 nucleotides) under Silene latifolia subsp. alba (white campion). RNAcentral describes it as "5.8S ribosomal RNA". It matches the Rfam family "5.8S ribosomal RNA". Rfam says of the family: 5.8S ribosomal RNA (5.8S rRNA) is a component of the large subunit of the eukaryotic ribosome. The record is from RNAcentral. Lineage: Eukaryota; Viridiplantae; Streptophyta; Magnoliopsida; Caryophyllales; Caryophyllaceae.
AACGACUCUCGGCAACGGAUAUCUCGGCUCUCGCAUCGAUGAAGAACGCACCGAAAUGCGAUACUUGGUGUGAAUUGCAGAAUCCCGUGAACCAUCGAGUUUUUGAACGCAAGUUGCGCCCGAAGCUUCGGCUGAGGGCACGUCUGCCUGGGCGUCACGC